CUCGCUUACCAUCUCACAUUGUAGUUGAUGAGAGAGUUGAUCAGCUCAGAAGGACAAUGGCAUCCGAAAUUAUAUCUGCUUCAGAGGAUCUUGUAAAUGCUUGUCAGUGGUGCGCAGCAUAUACAAGCCGAAAAAAAGAUGUCUUUUGGAUAUGUUGCAGUACAUGUGAGCGAUGGAACCACAUAACUUGCGUGGCCAUGUCAAAGGAUGAAUUUAAUGAGUAUGAGGGAAAAGAUCGGAAUUAUUAUUGUCCAGCAUGUGCUGAAAGCUCCAAACUGCCAAUAAAUGAAGACAGAUAAAAGAUGACCUCUGAAAAAGGACUAAAUGGCCAAAGAGAAGUACAAUGAUGGAAUCUGACCCCUACCGACCGACCAGCGCUCUCAAGGUUCUGAACACUCCAGCAGUUGGGGACAGGCCAAACCGCUGCGGAGCCAAGAAACCGCACACAAGCCCAGAUGCACCUCACUCUAAAAACUAGCCAUAAAUGAAACAUUUAAAUUUUUGACUCCACAUGCUGCCUGAACAAUUCUUCCCCUUGUGCUCAAUCUCUGCCUUUCCUCUCACAGCUGACUAAACCCAAGGAGCUUGCCUGCUUGCUGGACACCCGCACCAAGCAGUGAAAUUCACCAUUAAGCCAUUCCACUGGAUCCUUGUCGAGUUUAAACCCCUUGUAACAGAUAACCGUCUCCUACGGGGUUGGAGUUUAUAUCUUACCCAAAGAAAUCUUAUUAGUGACCCCAACUGCCCCUUCCCACUCCCCAUCAUUAUAUACCUACAUGCAUGCAUAGAAAGACUGUUUCUAUUAGCAAUAUGCCAGCUGCCAAUGUAUUAGAAGUACUGUAUAUUCUCUAACUCAGUAAAUGAUGUUCUCAUGUUCGUAUGUAUGUAGCAUGGUAUGUCGUCGUAACUUAUACUGACCAUGCACUGUGAGUACAUACUCCACUUUCCUGGAUGCUACAUUUUUUAAUGUGUGCUGUAUUUAUUGUAGUGGUUUUUUUUCCUUUUUUGCAAAAUAAUUCCACAUUUGCACAUUGUCUAUAUUGUUCUUUGUUUCACUAUGGUUCUAGAAGGAAUGUUAUUUUGUUGUAUUUUAUACUGAGGUGGAACGAAAAUAAAAUGCCACAUU
Molecule: long non-coding RNA, 1126 nt
Organism: Astyanax mexicanus (Mexican tetra)
Lineage: Eukaryota; Metazoa; Chordata; Actinopteri; Characiformes; Acestrorhamphidae
Exons: 4
Source: RefSeq, a predicted model, not a curated record